GCCUGGGUGGCUCAGUCGGUUAAGCGGCCGACUUCGGCUCAGGUCAUGAUCUCGCGGUCCGUGAGUUCGAGCCCCGCCUCGGGCU
This is a non-coding RNA of Felis catus (domestic cat), 85 nucleotides long. NCBI's taxonomy places the organism in Eukaryota, Metazoa, Chordata, Mammalia, Carnivora, Felidae. The record is from Rfam.